Molecule: non-coding RNA, 396 nt
Filed under: Pan troglodytes (chimpanzee)
Lineage: Eukaryota; Metazoa; Chordata; Mammalia; Primates; Hominidae
Source: RNAcentral
ACAGAAUGUGACUGCCGUGAGUGGAGUGUGACUAUGAGAUAGUUGCCUGACUGGAGACAAUGAAGCCUCAGGCCAAGGAUGCUCCCUCCUACUCAGCCCUGUUUAGUGGGAUUUUUCAGCCCACUGUAAUGCCUACUGCUGCCUGUAAAGCCACCUAAGUGCAUCACUUGCUGGUGUUCACCAUGAUAACAACAAUGUAUGGGGACAGAAUAUGUUUCUAGAGCUGCUGGUGCCACUACUGAUAAGUUACUGGGUUCCCUGAAAUAAAACACCACAGUGCAGCUGGAGUACAGUGGCUCAAUCAUGGCUCACUGCAGCCUAGACCUCCCGGCUUCAAGUGAUCCUCCUGCCUCAGUCUCUCAAGUAGCUGGGACUACAGGUGCAUGCCACCACUCC